GACAGAGGUGCCAAGCGUUAGGCGGAAUCACUGGGCUUAAAGCGUGUGUAGGCGGGCGAUCAAGUACCUUGUGAAAUCCCACGGCUCAACCGUGGAACUGCCUUUGAUACUGUCGAUCUGGAGUAUGGAAGAGGUGAGUGGAACUGCGAGUGUAGAGGUGAAAUUCGUAGAUAUUCGCAAGAACACCAGUGGCGAAGGCGGCUCACUGGCCCGGUACUGACGCUGAGGUGCGAAAGCGUGGGGAGCAAACAGG
This 253-nucleotide ribosomal RNA is filed under the name uncultured bacterium. RNAcentral's name for it is "partial 16S ribosomal RNA". It matches the Rfam family "Bacterial small subunit ribosomal RNA", at positions 524 to 776 of the family's 1533-position model. The record is from RNAcentral.